Molecule: long non-coding RNA, 1212 nt
Organism: Chenopodium quinoa (quinoa)
Lineage: Eukaryota; Viridiplantae; Streptophyta; Magnoliopsida; Caryophyllales; Amaranthaceae
Exons: 2
Source: RefSeq, a predicted model, not a curated record
UAUGAGUUACUUAUUCAAGGGUUACUUCACUAGUAGAAAAAUGCUCAUUUGCGUCGCCUUAUUUGCGUCACUCAUAGAAACAAAUGACGCAAAUGAGAUAUUUUGACAACAUUAUCAGUAAUUUGCGUCGGACAUUUGUUACAAAGCGAAGCAAAUGUCUGACAUAUUUCAACUUACUUAUAUAUACGUUGCUUUUAUAAAUAGGAGUGGCGCAAAUAACAUUGUCAUUUGCGUAACUUGUUUAUUAACAAGCGACGCAAAUAACAAGUCACUCGUUUAUUGACAAGCGACGCAAAUGACCACGAUGGCUUACAUAAAUUGUCCCUGCCUUCUGCUGUUCAAACUUCAAUACUUCAAAGUUCAAACCCUAGAAAAUUCAACCUACCCCAAAAUUUCCAGAAAUUCAACAUCAAAACCCCAAAACAUUACAAAAAUUUGACCACUAAUCAAUAAUCCAAGCAAAUGUGAGGCAAAACCCCUUAUAUUCGAGCAAAUCCGAGCCAAAAUACCAUACUUUUGAGCAAAAAAUCUACCCAAAACCCCCACGAAAUUCAAUUGCAGAAAAUCGAGCAAAUUACCUUAAAUUUGAGCAAAAUAUCAAUUGAAAACUCAAAUCAAAAGCUAGUAAUAUUGUCCUAAUAAAACCCUAGAAUUUUUGACAAAAAAACCAAGCAUAAUUGUGAGGAAACUUAAGUUUGAGUUUUGAAUUUUGGGUUUUUUUUUGUUCUGCGAUUGCAACAGAGUUUACACACAGAUCUAAGGAAGGAAGUUGGAUUUUCGUUCAAAUUAGGAGCAAUUUGUUACGAUUCUCUGAAAUUAGGGUUUGUACUCAAUAAUAUGGAAUUUUGGCUCUAUUAUUGCUGAAGUUGCAUAUGCAAAAUCGAUUUCAAGCAAGGAGCUGGUGACUUUAAACUAUUCGCAAGAGAAAAAGGAAGUGGACUUCCAUUAAGGACUUGUUCGUGUUAGGGAAAAUGAAGAUAUUGCCCCUAAAUUGAAUUAUAUUGGCUUCAAAUUCCAUAUUAUUUAUUGGAUUCUUUUGUUAUAGUUCUUAGGCUUGAAAUGAACGCAUUUGGUUUACCUGGUGCUUGUGUUAUUAAUGAUGAAGAUGUCAAUAUUGUUCAGUUGUAAACUUAUUUGACAAGCUGCUAAUACAAGGCGCCGUCAAUCCCAAAUUAAUAGGUAGGCCAAAAUACAAAGGAAAUUCUAUCGAAA